CUGAAUAGGACUUAAAGUGCUUGAGGCGUUCAUUCCCUUGGAGUCUCCAGCCUUCCUUCCCCUCCCAGCUCCUGCUGGAUCUCUGCUCAGCAGCGAUGGAGGCAUCUUAAGGCCGUGCAGGUUCGGCAGAAUUCCUGUUGGUAGUGGAGGGGCAGAUGUGGCUGCAACUUGGCUCAAUGCCUGCCUGAGGCACAGGAGAGCCAGGCUGUGGGCAAGUGACUCUGCCGUCACUGGAGAGAGCCUGAUCUUAGGGGAAUAGAAAGCUGCGUGGGAAAGCCUCUGUGAUUGUAUCAGUAUUUGGUGAUUCCUGUUUACAUGCAGUGCUUUUCCAUGAAUUUCCAGUCACAUGGGAGGUUCGUGGGAUUGUUUGCUCCUGCCUCUGGGUUACUUGGACAUCCUCCUCCAGCCCCCAGGUUCUGAAGUUCUGUAAAAACUUUGAAGCCUGUUUCUACUAGCACUGGAAACUGAAGUUCAUCUGUGAAACAGAACCUUUGCAGAGAAGGAACUACAGCAGUUUUGGAGUACAGGAGACCACCUUCAUCUUUGCAAGUAGCAUGCUCAGCUCUGGCUCGCAGAUCUUUGCAUUCUGCGCUACUCAGAACAGCAUAAACGCUUUCAGUCUUCCCAAGGCUCUGAAAUUAUUCAGUCCAUAGAGACUUAUCACAUUGCCAAGCUCAUAUAAUCUCCUUACCGUGGUCAGUUUCACACAAGUAACAUGAUGACUUAUCCUUAUGCUGUCCUGGCCAAUAUUAAUGUAUUCUUUCCAAAUAAAACAGCUUCUAAUUGACUAGGUUGUGUGUGAGCUAUUGUCCACAUGGGUACUACUGCAAUUGCAAGUAUAUAAUGGC
RNAcentral lists this long non-coding RNA (848 nucleotides) under Gallus gallus (chicken). RNAcentral describes it as "lncRNA (ENSGALG00010024032.1)". The record is from RNAcentral. Lineage: Eukaryota; Metazoa; Chordata; Aves; Galliformes; Phasianidae.